AAAAAAAUCAACUUCUAACAACUAAAACUAUAGAGUUGAAAAAAGCAUUAAAAUCUUGCCUUUCUGGAGUACAUUAUACUUUUAUGUUCAAACAUCCAUAAUCAUGAUAAUUAAAAGGUGCUUUCAAAUUGGUAGCUUUUAAUAUAUAAUUCAUGGAGUUUUAAUCUGUUGUUUGUUUUUAACACUUGCCAUCUUCUCAAACAUUUGUAAAUGUUUAGGGUAAAUAUUGUUUAUAUUUAUGUAUAUAAUUGUAAAUAUUGAUAUCUGAAUGCUGUCAAAUAAGUCAUAGAAAAUUUUUAAGCUGCUGAUCUCAAAAGGACACUGUGAAACAAUCUCCGGCACAGAGUUCAUAUCCGUUCCAUACAUGCUCUGCAAUACUGCACUUAAUAUAUUGAGUGUAGUGUUACAAAGUCUUGAACGGAACGGAUAUAAUCUCUGUGCCGGAUAUUGACUGUGAAACAUAGUUAAAUUGUUACCUGAUGGUACAUUAAAGCACUACACUUUAAACUGUUGGAUAUCUAAUUCCAUAGACACAUUCAUGUUGAGACCAGUCCACUUUUUUCUCUCUUGGUAAAAUGUUAGAUUCUAUUUUCUAUAUUUCUAUCGAAAUUUAACCUUUUCGAAAUCCAUUGUAUAAAAAUUUGUUAUAAAUGUGGUUGCGAGGGAUCUCAGAAGUCCUCUCCAGGCCUCAAACUAAAUUUUAUAUUCUCAUUAUGUGGCAACCAUGAAUUCUAUUCCACUUAAGUCUUCAUUUAUCUCGUCUUUAAGUUUAUUGAUAAAAUUAAUAUUUCAUGCACUUGAAACAAGGAAUUAUUUGAAUCUGGAAUAAUUUUUAAUUCUGGAAAAUUGAUUAGAAAUGUAUGAUGAAAACUUACCCAACUAAAUAGGGCUGGCCUAUUCCAGAUUCAAAUAAUUCCUUGUUUUAAUAUCAUCCUGUUUGUUGGGGUCUGCUGGCUACUUUUUUGUCGAAUCUGCAACUUUUGUUGCAGAAAGCUCGACAUAGGGAUAGUGAUCCGGCGGCAGCGUUAGCUAACUUCUUAAAAGCUUUAUAUUUUAGAAGGUAGAAGACCUGGAUGCUUCAUAUUUUGUAUAUAGAUGCCUCAUGUUACAAACUUUCCGUCAGUCACAUGUCCAAUGUCUUUGACCUCAUUUUCAUGGUUCAGCGACUACUUGAAAAAAAAGUUAAGAUUUUUUAUAAUAUUAAAUUCUCUAUUAUUAUAAGUAAUAGGAUAACUAUAUUUGGUAUGUGCGUACCUUGCAAGGUCUCAUGCCCGUCAUACAGUUUUCACUUGACCUCGACCUCAUUUCAUGGAUCAGUGAACAAGGUUAAGUUUUGGUGGUCAAGUCCAUAUCUCAGAUACUAUAAGCAAUAGGUCUAGUAUAUUCGGUGUAUGGAAGGACUGUAAGGUGUACAUGUCCAACUUGCAGGUGUCAUCUGACCUUGACCUCAUUUUCAUGGUUCAGUGGUUAUAGUUAAGUUUUUGUGUUUUGGUCUGUUUUUCCUAUACUAUAUGCAAUAGGUCUACUAUAUUUGGUGUAUGGAAUGAUUGUAAAGUGUACAUGUCUAGCUGACAGGUGUCAUCUGACCUUGACCUUAUUUUCAUGGUUCAGUGGUCAAAGUUAAGUUUUUGAGUUUUGGUCUAUUUUUCUAAUACUUUAUGCAUUAGGUCAACUAUAUUUGGUGUAUGGAAAUAUUUUAUGAUCUAUAUGUCUGUUACGCAGGUUUUAUUUGACCUUGACCUCAUUUUCACGGUCCAUUGCUAAGUGUUAAGUGUUUGUUGUGUUUUGGUCUGUUUUUCUUAAUUUAUAAGCAAUAAGUCAACUAUAUUUGUUGUAUUGAAGAAUUGUUAACUGUACAUGUCUGCCUGGCAUGGUUCAUCUGACCUUGACCUCAUUUUCAUGGUUCAUUGAUCAAUGUUUCAUUUUCUUGGUUAAUGUCAAGUUUAUGUGACAGUUGUAGUAAAGCUUUGAAUUUAGGUCUAUCAACAUAAUAUCAAUGAUUAGUAAAGAAGGCGAGACAUUUCAGUGUGUGCACUCUUGUUACAUUAAGUUAACAUUUUAAAACCGGUUGGCUAUUGCAAAAUGACUAUGAAAAUUCUUAACAAUAAUAAGUUCCUCUGCUUAAAUUUAGAUUUUGAGAUCUUUCAGCUGUGUAUAUUGUAUAUAUUUUUAUUUUGUUUAAACUAUUAUUUUCUCAGAAACACAUUCCAUUUAACUUAUUGUGAAUGAAAUUGAUGCAUAUAUUUUAUAAGAGCAUUUUAUAGUAUUGUUAAGAUUUACAUAAUGUCUUUCAUUCAUAUUAGUGUGGUUGGUGCUUGCACAAAGUCAGUGCAUGAGUCUUUCAUUAUUUUAUUGAUCUGUAUUGUUGUUAUUUAUCUUUAUCACUUAUUUAACUAGGCGUUCAUUUAUAACUCUUAUAGAUGUUAAGGUUGACAUUUCAUAAUUAAAAUAGCAGUCAAAUUUAUAUAUAUAAAUAUAGGUAAGAAAAAAAUAUUUAAGGGGGCAUAAAUCAAUUUUUUUUUACAUACGAUUUUGCUAUAUUUUUUUAUAAAUAAACUUUAUCAUAUACUUAAUAGAAAAAUAAAAUAAAGAAAUGGGGUCUAACCGUUCAUUUAAGCUCACAAUAUGCCUCCGAAAGAAGCAUUUUUUUUUUUGUUGAUGUCCUUUUUUCUGUUGAACUAAUAGGAGAAAAAGAGGUAAUAUCGAAAUAAAAAAGAACUAAAUUACAGAAAGCACUUAAAUUUAACAAUUAUUUAGUUUGUGUACAGUUUAUUUGAAAACAUUAAUAAAAAAUAUAGGUCACCAAUGAGUUAAAAAGAUAUUUCAAUUUAAUGCCCCAAAAAUGGCAUUUUUGCACCAAAGGGAGAUAAUUUUGAGCUUUUUCAAUGAUAUAAACAUUUUAAAAGUCAUCUGGGGCCAAACUGAAUCGAUUUCUUUGGUUGAUUUUUGUACCAUAUCAUAAAGUAAUAACUAAUAGUGUAAUAAAUAAAAUUUGUAAUGAGUAAACAAAUAUUUAUUUUUUUGCUGAAAUUUGUAUACCCUCAAGAAACAUUUUUGUUACUGAUACUACAAAUUUUAGGGCAUAAAUCUUGAAUGUGUAUAUAGUGUGUGAGUGAAAGUUAUAUGUAUGAUUGAAUUGUGUAAAGAUGUUUAAAAAAUUAGUGGAUAUAUGGUUUUUAUAUUACAACAUUUAAAUGUACAUGUACUUAUUGAGGGGUGGUUGUGACAUUUGUCUUUAGCCACAAAAGUCACACGGCGUUUAUUUACCUAAUAUUUUGACUGAUUCUUUAAGUACCGAUUAUCAGGUUAUCUGCAUGUUGAUAUCGUAAAAUAUCAGCUGCGAGACAUAAUAUGAAGCUUUUUGUUGAGUGAGCGUAGCGAAUGAGAUCAAAAAGCCUUUAUAUAAUGUCAAGCAGCUGAUAUUUUACAAUAUAUAGUCGCUGAUAUGUCCGGGUCAAAGUUAUUAAGGCCGGGUCAACGUAUUUGACGUCACAAAGACAUGAUACGGAAUAAUAUUAAGAGCUGAACAGAGUGAUAUAGACAGUGGGACGACAUAAAGAUAAUUAUCCUUGGUCAUACAAAAGCAUGUAGUGGCCCAUUAUAGUGAUCUGAGCUUUUAAAGGGCAAUUGAUACUUGAUUUGAUGUACAGUAUUUAUUUAUCUAUUUAGAUACAGAUUUAUUCUUUUUUACGUUGCAAAAACUUGUAAUUUUCAUUAAAAAUCUCAAAAUAAAUUAUGCUGGUAGAUUUGAAUUUGUCUUCAUGGUUUCCAAAAUUUUAAAGGCUUAUUUGUGAGUCAACUGUGCUUAUAGGCACAAAUUUUAAUUAUCAUAUGAUGGAACAACUCUAUUGAGAUGAUUAUUGAUGAUUUUAAGAAAAGUUUUGGAAGUGAGCCAUCUUUAAUUUAAAGAGCUAAUUUUACCAUCAAUUUAUUAUAGCUAUAGUUCUGCUUGAGAAUUUUUGGAUUGUGUCAUAAUUUAAAAAAUAUUGAUAACUUGCAUUAUAAAAAUGUCUAACACAUUUUGGACUGAAAUUUUUUUCUUUGGUCUCAUAACAGAUAAUUUUGGAAAAAAAUCCAUUUGAACAUAAGGCAUAUAUUGUACAGUAUUACAAAUAAAGAGAUUUUGAAAAUAAAAACAAUAUUUUAUUGAGACAUGUGUAUUUUUUUACUAAGGAAAUUUUCAUAUUGCUUUUGAAAGGAAGGAGUUUAUAUUGAUAUUUUUUUCAGCUGAUAUUGAAUAAAGAAAUAUAUUGAGAGUAUUUAAAUAGCAUUGGAUAACAGGCUAAGACUUUUUAAGCCUUCUCCACUUUUGUAUAUUCAUAUCAUUACAGACUGCUGACAGAAUAUUUUUUUGUAUAAAAUUUG
RNAcentral lists this long non-coding RNA (4365 nucleotides) under Mytilus galloprovincialis (Mediterranean mussel). The record is from RNAcentral. Lineage: Eukaryota; Metazoa; Mollusca; Bivalvia; Mytilida; Mytilidae.